Molecule: non-coding RNA, 30 nt
Filed under: Mus musculus (house mouse)
Lineage: Eukaryota; Metazoa; Chordata; Mammalia; Rodentia; Muridae
Source: RNAcentral
UGUGAGUGGCUUUCNCCUAAGGUGCUAAGU